AUUGCAACCCAGGGAGACAUCCUCCCAGUCAAGAUUGAGCUCCCAAGCCAAUCCCGUAUUCUUCUUCAACUCCACCACCAGAAACCCUUCUACCCAACCCUUGAUGGAGUCCUUGUAACCCGUGAAAAUGGAUAACCCUCCGCGAGGGGCAAAGUAAUAAAAUUUUUGGCUCACUUUGACUAGUCUGAAAAAACUGACGAAUAGAUGAACCGUGGGUGUAAAUCCCCAGCUCAGACACGCAGACUCAAAGCAAGACAUGAAAAGAAUGGAGUUAGGGGUUAGCAUCCGAGGG
This 292-nucleotide long non-coding RNA is filed under the name Manihot esculenta (cassava). RNAcentral's name for it is "long non-coding RNA (MESC_LNC009808)". Lineage: Eukaryota; Viridiplantae; Streptophyta; Magnoliopsida; Malpighiales; Euphorbiaceae. The record is from RNAcentral.